UUGUUGCUGGAAUAUUUUCCAAAAAGUAGUUGUUCUAGUUGGUCUAGGUGUAUAUAAACAAAACGUGUUAGCCUAUCAAAAAAUUGCUUGCUUCAGUAAUAUCUAAACAAAAAUCCAAGAAUUGCAAUGACAUGCUGCUUCAGUCAGUUUUCUGCUUGUUGGGUUGAGCACCGUAUGUGAUGACAUUGCUGGUUCAAUGUUAGCUUCCCUAUCACUAUUAAGUGAUUGAUAUAAAACUGCAAGUUCUUUGAUCCUUACUGAAACAACCCUGUGCAAAUAUAUUGCAAAUUAAUCAAAUUGCAAGGGCUAGAAAUAAGCAAAAGGCUAAAAAUGUUAAUCACCAAAUGAUAAACUGAAAUUUGUAAUAAAAAAUAGUCUAUACAGAAGAAAAUUUCAUGUAUCACUCAAAUAAGGCAUGAUAGUGAAUUGAAACAAUUUAAGUAUGCUCAUUGACACAUGUACGUCUACAAUACCGAUUUCUAAUUUCCAACUCCCUCAUUUUCACUGAGUCAUAUUUCAAACAGUCAAGCUAUAAACAAAGAUAGCACUUAUUCGAUUUAUCCCCUAGCCAUAAGCACAGAAAAUAUAAAUACAAAUACAUGCAUACCGAUACAAAAGAGAAAUAUAAAAUAACAAGGACUCGCCAGAAAGAUACAAUCUUCUGGUGCCUAAUGAGAUUAUCCAGUUGAGAUUCACCUCCUUAAAAGUUACUAAACACAAUAAAACAAACAAAUGAAAAUGGAAAUCCGAAGCAAAGUUAAGAAGCUUGGCACAGGAAGAAGACAGCUAAACCCAAAAAGAAACUGAAGAAACAAAGCCUACACAAUACUUUUGCUGAUAUGAAGGAGCUAGCAGACCUCAUAUUCCUUUUUUAAUAAGGUUCCUUAUAGGUCAGGACAUAUGCGAAGAAUAGUUAGCCAGCAAAGGCUUAUUCCAGAAUAAGAAUAUUCUAAGUCUCUGUAUUAAUUAGUUACGCUCAGGCGAUAUGCAUGGCUAUAUGCAUGUAGUCCUAAGUAAGCAUAUUAGAUCAACAUUAUUUUGAAAAGACAACAAUGGCAAACGUUCAAAAGAAAACUUGGGGGAAAAAUACCAACUUUAGAAGAUACUGACCAAAUAAUUUCCUCAACCCCUAGUAAACCAGAUAAUGAGAUACAUGUUUAAAACUCUUGAGUAGAAAAUCUACCAUUGCUUGAAAGAACAAAUAUUACUUGGGAUGAGAAGAAAGUGCAUCUGGUGAUUGCUUCUUCAUUCCAACAAACAAACUCUGUCACAACAGUAACAAAUAUGGCUGAUUUGUCGCAAGGUAAACACAGCAAAUAAUAAGCAAAUAGACAACUACUUCAAAAUUCUCACAUUCUCAUACUUUAAACCAAAAAAAUCUCCUUCUCAUAAUGUAAAACAUUGAACUUGCAUAUGAAGACAGUAAUUGAAAGCAUGUUUAAUUAUAUAUGUACAGUAAUUCAAACUUAAAAUAUUUUGAAGAAACUAAUAGCAGUCCCAAGACAUUUUAGUUUGUUCAUGACCAACAGAAUCAAAUCCACUUUGGAGUACAUAUUCUAUAGCAGCAUGACAAAACCAGUACACAUUGGUAAAGCUAAAUAUGUAGUAAAGCACUUCCUAUUCUAAACCCUAAGCAAUGCGAAAUAUGAAAUACUAAAUUAGAAAAGCCAAUUCACAACUCACAUGCUUUGUUUGAAUUCCAAGAACAACAAAAGUACACAAAUAAGAAAUAAAAACUCAAACAGCUUUGCAUAGUCAUUGAUUACUCUACAGUGCUGCUUCUCUAUACAGUCUAAAACAUUUUAAAACACUACCUAAAUUCCUCUGAGUUGUCAGUACAAAGCAGAGUUUAUAUGGAUUGUUGGACACAUGAAGUGACAAAAUGAAUCUCAAGAAAAUGAUUUAUUGAAAAAAGUUUAUGAGUGGCUCACUACUAACUAAUAUGAACUGAAACAAUUUCAGUAGCUAUUGCAGAAACCAUAACAAAAUAUCAUUAACACUUGUAUUAAACCACUGUAAUGUGUUUCCAAACAUGCCUUCUAACACUAUAUAAAAUCAACAGAACAAACAGAACCAUGGAAAAUAAAACAUAGAAGUUAAUCACAAGUUAAUCACAACCUCUUCGGUACAACAAACAGAAGUAAAACCCAUAACGAAUAUUGAUCUAUAUAUAUAUAU
RNAcentral lists this long non-coding RNA (2178 nucleotides) under Rosa chinensis. RNAcentral describes it as "sRNA RchiOBHm_Chr1g0336141". Lineage: Eukaryota; Viridiplantae; Streptophyta; Magnoliopsida; Rosales; Rosaceae. The record is from RNAcentral.